GUAAGAGUAUUGAUUUAGUAUAGUUUCAGUGGAUACAUCGCCAUCUUAAGGAGGCUACUUGGUAAGUUGAGUCUAAUAUGAGGUGUACCUCCAACCUUUUACUACGUCAGGUACUCUAUUUGCCUUUUAGUUCGACGACGAACUUUUGUUUUAGUGGUAAAUAAUGUAAUGACCUUGAUUGAGCAAAUUUCCAUUUCAUGUGUUUCAACUAUUUUUCCCUUCCACCUAGUUUUAUAUGCUAUUAGUAAGUUGUGGGGAUGGUAGACAUGAUUUUUAAUGCAUUCGUGCAUAUUUUGGC
Molecule: long non-coding RNA, 298 nt
Filed under: Capsicum annuum
Lineage: Eukaryota; Viridiplantae; Streptophyta; Magnoliopsida; Solanales; Solanaceae
Description: long non-coding RNA (CANN_LNC012460)
Source: RNAcentral